AAAAAAAUAAAAAUUUGCAUUGGGAAUUGAACUUGCGUCUAUCAGGUUGUUAGAUUAUUUUGAACUCACCCCACCAGAAUUUAACUACCGAGAUAUGUGAAUGAAGUGAGAAGAUAUAGCAUCUAAUCGUUUUAAAAAUUUUUUGACAGUUGUUUAUUCCCUUAGUUUAAUCAAAUAGGUUUGUUUCUUGUGGAAUUAAAAUACGACAAAAUACAGACUAAAAAAGCAAUAUAUUAGAUGGAGAUUUUUGUUGGUAAAUCAAGGCAUUACCUACUAGCUAGGUAGGUACAUUUUCCAAAUAGGUAUUUAAUUUGUAAUUUUUUAUUACAAUACUGAAACAUUUACAAUAAGGUACGUACCUGUUGCUUUUAAAAACUAUUUAAAAAGUCACUACAAUAGUCAAAAACUUGCUUUUUGUCUCUGGCCUCACAACAAUAAAAAAUAAUAUACACAACAUUUGUUUAUGCAUAAUAUGCAUUUGGACAAUUAUUGACAGAAGAUUUUAACACCCAAUCAGAUCACGUAUAACGUUUGAGCGGCUAAUACCAUACUGUCGGUGUGCGCAUGCUCCCGGCAAAAUUAAAAUUCACCCUCGUGCCUAAAGAAGUAUAACUUCAAAAAUUCUUGAAAAAAUGCUUAUUUUUGGUCUUUUAAAGUGCACUAUUUAGUACCUUAACAAAUAUAAUUUUAUAAUAAUUGAAUGAAACACUAGAUUAUUUUACUGCAGAGUACAACUGAGAAACUAUUAUCUAUUAUAUUAACAUGAAAUACUACUAAAUCUACAGAGCUCUAAACUAAAUUUUAUGUAAAAUGUUUUUUUUAAAUAUUAUGUUUUUAUGAGAUUAAUACUUAAAUUAGACAGGCGACAAGAAAACAGUAUCACAAUCUUGUUUAUUUUACUAGAAAUCGCAAGAAAUUUGAAGAAAAUAUUUAAACAGAGCAUUCUCAUUUACUCAUUUCUCAUUAAGAGCAAAGUUGUUGGGUUGAAAUAUGAUAUCUUUGACCAAUAAAUUAUCUAUAUUACUACAUGGUAAGAAUUCUAUGCGGCAUUGAAUAUUUUUGUAUGUUUUACAUGUGUGAUUAUGCAAAACUAACAAAUACAGAUUAGGAGAAUUACCAUUAUGACGAAUUAGCAUUAGCACUAUUAUGACGAAUUUAAACAAUUAAAAAAUGAAUUUUCUAUUUUAAUAUUUUGCAUAACACCUAAACACCAGCAGAAGAAAAGCUCAUUCUGGCGCCCCCCAAACAGGGGCGCCCGCCUGCAGUGCAUCCCUUGCAGGCCCGUUAUCGCCGCCCCUGAACGUCAUCCGGAAACUGACCAGCUCAAACGGAAAACUCCGCCAGAAAAAUAUUGAGAAGACCAGACUUGGCUUGGCACUUUUUUUAGGCGAGCUAUUGUACUCAUCCUGUAUCGAGACCUCAGUUGACAUGAAUCAUGUUGAUGUUGGGAAGUUUUAGUAGCUAUUUGAAACCCACUUUAGUCCAGUCUUUAUUCACACUAGGUGGCAUAAUACUACCACAUGCAAGAAGAAAACUGGCAACUGAAAUCGAGAGGAAGGAAUAGAUAAUACAGUUGAAGCACUCGAUGUUCAUAUAUUAUAAUAUUACUGUGCCUCGUAUCGAGUCAAGCCACAAGACACAGUUUGAUUCAAAAGACUAAAUAGAACACCUCCGGACAGAACCAUUUAACAAAUCAGAAAAGGAGAGAAGGUUCCAGACAAUAUUUACCUACAGUCUAAGGAGUCACUGGCACCUGGACAUGACGACAACUGGAGAAUGCUCAAUAGACUCAGGAUCUCAAACUGCGUAAAUAACAGAGUCCAACGGAUAUAUGAUAUUGAUAGUCACUGUCACUGUAGAGUUUCUACAAAUAUAUGCAAUGAAAAACAGAUGGUACAAACUCUCUACCAAUGUUUCUAAGAGAAGUUUGUUAGGUAGAAAAAAACAAGUAAUCAAAUCCCAUCUUAGCUACCAAAGUUGGUUGGACAUGAGACACUUUUUAUGUUUGAAUUGCUUUAUUUUAUCCAACUUUAAAAUUUAUAUUAUUUACAGCAUACAUCAAAAUGUCAAAAUGUACUAAAAAUGUCUAAGGCGUAUAUCAUCAAUUCUUUUAGAUAGAAGUGUUGAAAAAUGAGGUAAGAGAUUGCGUUAAGUUUUUUCAAAAAUCGACAACACUUUUUUUAUUUUAUAAAACAUAUUGCUAUGGAUAUUUUAUAAGUUCAAAUUUACAAAAAAAAAUUGUCCAAAAAAUAGUAAAUAAAUCAAAAAUCCAAAAAAUAUAUUGAUAAUACAAAAUAAUUGUCACUAUUAUCAGUUCCUCGCGAAAUAAUUAAAGAAUGCAUAAUCAUCAGAGUGAAAGAAAUAGAAGAUAAUCUCUAGUUGCUAUAUAAAUCCAAUUAAAAUUGUAGAUCUUUUAUUUUUAUAUAUAAAUAUACCGUUGAACAAUCAUUUUUGCUUGAAUUAGUUUUUAAUUAUCUCACAAGUGUCGAGAAAACUAUAAAAGGAGCUAAAAUUAAAGAAAUUUGUCUUCCCUGAGAAUUAAAACCUGGCGGAUAUUGUGAGGAAAAGGUGGCAAGUAGGGUUCAAAACGAGUCAAAAAUUUUAUAAAGUUUUAAAACAAUACUAAUGUUUAAAUAAAGAAUACUUUGAUUAAGUGUGAUGAUGAUGAUGAUAAGUUGAUGAACAAAAUUUUUGCUAAAUGAGCAAGAUUACGACUGUUUCGUAAACCGGUCUUGGACGACUAUCAAGAAAAUGGUUCCCCUUUGUAGAUCAUGGGAAUGGUCUGACUAAAUCAAUUGAGACAGUAUGCCAAGGCUUUUCUACAGUGGAUGGAUGCAUUUUUUCUGCUGAUUGCAUUUGUGGUGGUUUAUACUGAAGGCACUUCCUAUAGAAUCUAACAUAGUCUGCAAUUUGUUUGAACAUCUUGGGCAAGUAGUAUUUUUGCGCUAUUGAGCAAAUAGCUUUCGCAAUUCCUAAAUGGCCUGCUGCAAUUUCUAAAUGGUCCAGUUUUGAUUCUCCUCCAAAAGUUUUUUCCUUUUAUAGCCUGGUACGCAUAAUUGCCAUGGAUUGUUAAAUUCCGGGUCUUCUAAAUUUCGGCUACUCCAUAUAUGUUUAUACGAUCUUCCGUUUAGUAUUUGUGAAUCAGAAAAUAUGUCUGGGUUUUGGAGGACAUUUCCAUAUAAAUUAUUCUACCAAUAGCACGAUUUUAAGGCUGAUGCUUACAAUUCCAGCUCUGGUUUUUCGGUAUGGGUUUCUUGUGGUUGCUGGAAUAGAGCAUCUGCUACCUUGUUGAGGAUUGAUUUCCUUUCUGUAUAUUACCUCGAAAUCGUACUAUUGUAGGUCUAAACUCCACCUGGCUAAACGACCCGAGGGAUUAUUAAGGCUCUUCAGCCAUUUCAACGACUGUUGGUCUGAUAUGACCUUAAAAUUGUAACAUUCUAUGUAUGGCCUCAUUUGUUUUAUUCCGUGUACGAUGAACAGACAUUAUUUUUUGUUUGUAGAGUAUCUUGUCUCAACCGGUGUGAGAGUUCGACUAGCAUAUGCGAUCACUUUGUAUUGACCGUCAUACUUCUGAGUUAACUCAACCACAAGUUCUUAGUUUGACGUAUCUGUUUACAGGUAAAAUGUUUUGGCUAUAGCGCUGGUUUUCUCCGAAUCGGUUUUUAUUCCUUUCAAGUAUAUGAGUUCUGGCCGGCAAAAUGUACAUUUUUCGAAGUUUCGCUGUAAUCUAGCAACUCACAGUUUUCUUCAGACUUCUUGUAGGUAAAUGAAAUACUCUUGGAGCGUCUUCGGUAUUAUCGCGAUAUCAUUUAUUUCUGGUGAAUGCAAAUUCUAUGUAUAUCGGAGGAUGAUAUUACUUUAUCCAAUGGACGUUGUAAAGUUGCUCCAGGCUAAAUGGGGUGCUUCUAAAUUGAAAGUGUACGCCAAAUGCUGUUUCUGGACAGCUUGUUUCUUCCAAAAGGGUAUUUGGUCGAUUUACCAGUUUCUAUUCUUAUCUUUUCUCCAAGAGGUUGAUGGGUGUGUCAUUAUUAUAUCAUCAUUAUUAGUCGGUGGCCUUUUCCAACAUAAAUUUUUUGUCCUGUACGUAGAUAAGCUUUCUAUGAAAGCUUAACCACUGAUUUUAAUACUUUAAUUUUGCCAUCGUUUUUGAACUGAGUGUCCUGUCAACCAUUAAGAAAUGAAGUAUACAAACAAAAGAAAUUAAUAUUUUUUACAACAGAAUCGAUAUUUGAAGACAUAAAUGGUCAACAUUUAUGUUUACAAACAUUGAAAAUUGAUUAUUUCUUUUUUUGUUUUGGUUUUUGGUAUUGGUUGGGGAUCUUUCGUCAAAAUUGAUUAUUUAAAAACAAUAAAACUCUUUCAAAAUUAGCCCAAGUCACUGUCACCCUUUACCUACUUGCACUCUCUUCCGCACAAUUUAGUAGUUAUAUGUGUAGCCUUAAUAGAAAAAAAAAUAUCAGGAUGCGUUGCUGCAUUUAAAUUUGUAUCAAAAUUUGAAAAAAAUUUCGAUUUUUAUAAUACAUAAUGACGUGUUUAUAUAGAUAUGAUUAUAUAUCAAAACAAAGUUAAUUAACAAUAGAGCAAUUUUUGGCGUGAAGGGAAAGAAUAUUAUAAGGAAAGUUUGAAAGAAAAGUUUGGAAAAACUUAUUUAUCGCAAAAGUAAUGACAUAGUUUGGAACAUAGUUGGAACCUUCAGAAAACUAAAAACGACAAGAACAGCUCUUCGUCCUGGAUCUUAGAUAUUUUGAACAGCUCUGUCGACUCUAAUCUGAGUUUGUGUGUGGCAAGGCUUUCCAUGGAAAAUUUUCAGUGCUGGUCAAAGCUUUUAAAAUCCUAUCACAACAUUAUUGGCAAAUUUAUAACCAUUGGGAGGGUCUAAUGCAGAUUAAGCAGUACUCUGUAAUAUCGAUUCUAGGUACUUAAAACUAUUACUUUUCACAAUCAUUUUACCAUCAAAAUAUAUCAUUUUAUUUGUAGUAACUCCAUGUUUAAAUGGACAUUCCAAUUACUCCGUUUUUAUCCUACUAAAUUUUAAAACUUUUUCCUUAAGAGCUUGUGUCCACUGUUUCAGUUUUUGUUCUAAGUCGUUUUCACUAUUUCGUACUAACACUACAUCAUCAGCAUAUCUACAGCACCCUGGAAUGUUACCUUGUAGUUUCGCUGUUAUCUGGUCCAAAACUAAUGAGAAUAAGUAAGGACUAAGCGCCGAGCCUUGAUGCAAUCCUAUUUUCACAUGAAAAUCCAGUCUCUCUCACACUUUUUAAGUCCUAGUUGUCUCUCCCUAACAUAUCCCUCUCACAAACUUUAUAUAUUCUCCAGGGACUCCUUUCUAACUGAGUGCCCACCUCAGAAUCUCUGGAGGAACUCUGUCAUAUGCUUUCUCAAGAUUAAUGAACAUCAUACAUGCGUUUGUUUCUUUAUUCCUGUAUUUUUCCAUCAACUGCCUUAGCCGGCUACUGACGAUACUAUGGAGUCGCACUAUCGUGAGUGGCCGGUUUUUAUAAUGAAAAUUGCAUCUGUUGGUCUACCUUGCAUAAAGUCUAGAUGAUUUGGCAUCGUAUAUUUCGGUUUCUUCAAGUAUCCGUUUUACCACGUCUAGUAGCAAAAGAAGAAAUUUCGCAAUGUUUUCAGCUAUCUGAUCUCUCUCUUCUCCUUUCCCCAUUAAAGAGGAUCGUGAAUUCUUCUAAUAUUUUUAACAUUUUUUUCAUUGGUCUCUCUCUUCAGCUGCUCUAAGAGCUUCGCAAAAUGAGUUUCCAGCUGAAUUCUUAAUUUGGUCGGACCAUCUAGUUGGUGAUCGUCCUCUUGAUCUUCUCACCGUAACGUUUCCAGAAACAAUUAAUCCCUCCAAACUAUCGUCACCUCUGCGAACCACGUGACCGAAGAAUUGCAGAAUUCGUUGCAGACAUAUUGUGAACAGCCUUUUUUUUAAACUCGAGUUGUCGAGUUGGUUUAAAAUGGAAACGUUUGUCCCAUGAGCUGUCCAAGGUAUGCGCAGCAUUCUUCUCCAGCACCACAUCUCAAAGGCAUCAUUUUUUUUGCGCUCGCUUGCGCGAAGAUUCCAAGUCUCUGCUCCGUAUAGAAAUAUUGAGAAUACAAGGGGCAUUCACCAGUCUCAUCUUGAUAUUUUGAGAGAGAUUUGUCUUUCCAAACUUUAGUUAGGCGACUCAUCGUAUUUUUUGUUAUACCAAUACGUCUCCGAACUUCUGCUUCACAGUUACCAUCAUUAGUUAUACUAGACUCGAGAUAGACAAAGCUGUUUACGAUCUGGUAUUCGUGUAACAUGUUAGUCAGUUGAAUAGUGUGGAAUCUAUCGACUACCAUUAUUUUUGUCUUAGCUUUAAUGAUUUUCAGACCUACUUUAUUGCUUUCGUACUCAACUCUUUGCAGGAGAUCAAACAUUUCUUGCUCAUUUGAUGCUAUAAGUGUAGUGUCAUCAGCAAAUCUUAAAUUGGAGAUUUUCCUACCAACUACUUUUACUCCAUCUGCCCAUCCUUCUAAUGCAAUCCUCAUGACAUGUUCACCAUAAAUGUUGAAUAAGUCAGGUGACAACACGCAUCUUUGUCUAACACCUGAUGGUGUUAGACAAGGUAUGCAUCAGGUGUCUGAUACUAGUCUAAAAAAUGUGCCAUUGUGGAUGAUAAUUUAACAAUUUUUUUAUAUAAAAGAACUUAAUACAUAUGUAUUAACAUAGUUUUUUAACAGAUGUUCCAUUUUCGUAGCAACUCAUCCUGAAAAUUCGUAAUUAGAUUAAAUUGUGUCUUAUCUCAAAACAGGAAUUACCUAGAUCUCUUAUUGAUUUUGAUUUUAGCAAAAUAUUUAGAGGUGAAACAAUUGUUUUGAUAGUAUGUACUAUAUAAAUAUUUACGUGAAUCUUAUUUUCGAAACCUUGCGUUGAAAAACUUUUAUAAUAACAUAGUUAUCGAUGAGUGAGCAUUUAAUAUUAUAUUUUACUUGAAAAUGUCUUCAAAUUGUCGUUUUAUUUUGUUGAAAUGCAGAAAUGCGAAAAAUAUUGUUACUCCCGGAAAAAUCAAAAAAUCAUAAAGUUAAUAAUUAAACGUUGAAGACUAUAUGAACUAGAUUAGAAGUAUUUGUGACAGUACAAAAAGAUUUUAUUUUUACUGCCGUAUUUUAAUGGAAAACUGACAGUCUCAAAUCAAAUUUUUAUAAAAUUUAUUUGCAUGGAAUCAUAAUCAGAUACAGAAACAAUUCUUCUUCUUCUUCUUCUUGCAGUACCAUCUCCUAUAGGAGGUUAGCUACCAUCACAGCAAUCUUAAAUUUGUUGGCUGCAGCUCUGAACAAUUGUAUUGAACUUCACCCGUACCGCUCCCUUAAAUUUCGCAACCAGGAAAUCCUCCUACGUCUCACAUUUCUCUUUCCCUAGAUUUUUCCUUGGAUUAUGAGCCUUAUCAUGGAGUUCUUUUCCCCUCUCAUUAUGUGGCCUAGUUAUUCCAGUUUUCUCGUUUGUAUGGUUUUUAUUUAUGACUUCCCCAUCUUCAGCAAAAUAUCUUGAUUUGUUACUCUCUCUGUCAAUGGUAUUUUCCACAUUCUGCUGUAGCACCACAUCUCGAAUGCCUCAAUGUUUUUGAUGUUUAUCUUUUUUAGUAUCCAAACUUCCAUGCCGUACAUCAGAACAGAGAAAACAUAGUACCUUAACAUGCUCGUUCUCAAUUUCAGAUUUAUGUCUCGGCAGCAUAGGAACUUUUUCAUUUUGAUAAAUGAUUGUAUCGCUAUUUCUAUUCGCCUCUUAACAGAAACAAUAAACCGUGUAAAUAGGCUGGCUUUCACCCCAGUCGUUCUCUGUUUGAAGGUAUUCCUUAUUCAAUACCUCUUAAUACCUGGUGUAAAAAUGUGCUCUGAAAAUAUAGAAUAGAAAUUAGCUAAAACUGGAAACUGUCCAUCGCAGAUGUAUUCAUGGUAAAGUGCCUAGCGCCAUCUAUUAGAUCUUACACAAAUGGAAAAACAAUGAAACUCUUCUCUUUCACUUCAUGGAGUUGGUUUCAUCUUCGAAACUUGAAUGUUCAUAAAUGCUAUUUUGGAUUCUAUGAUUGGUUUGUCCCAUGUAAUAUUGGGGGAAAUUGGCACAAGUAAUUUCAUAAACUCCGUGUUUCUCAUUUGGAAUGUUGUUUACAAGAAAUGGAAGUUUUUGAUGAGCGGUCGAAACAUUGUCUUUAUAGCUCCUGAUUCGAGGAUUUUCACGUAAGGAAGAAAAUUCAAAUGGGUCAUGGUGCUCUUUGGUAAUUAAGAUGAAAAGAUGAAAAGAUUUGAUUCCAGUUCAGUGUCUCUUCACAGGUGCUCUGAAGAGGAUAAGGUUAAUCCGAAUUACGUAUAAACACAUAGUGGAGGCUCAGUACUGUAAUCAAAUCUGAAUCAUCUUUACUUUUAUUUUAAGGAAGAAAAGCUUUCGUAUGAUCGGGGUCUUAGUCUUUGGGUUUAUAUUGAGCGGGAGAUUGAAUCUUGUGGAUGCUGGAUGGGUAACCAUUUUUAAUGAGGGCUUGUUUUAAAGAAGAGAGUGCAGUGAAUCUAUUUCAUCAUAGUAAAGGCAUAUUGAUCUGAUGAUAGGGGUAUUAUUGACUGAAUUAAUUUGUGAAGGUGGCUGAUAAGAGUUACCAUGCAAGUAACGGUUGGUAUAGAUGGGUUUUCGGUAAACAAAGUAAUGAAAUCCUUGGGAUUGGUUUUUCCUUGUGAGAACGUGGAGAGGCGGUAGGGAUGAACUGGGUAGUAGCAUGUAUACCAUUCAGAUGAGGCAUGAGGCAUUCUUGCUUUGAGAUUAAAUGACGAAUGUAUCAUCAACAUAUCGUGGCCAACAUGUAGGUUUGAGCACUGAUACGGAUAGUGCUCAGGUCUCGAAGUCUUUCAUAACGAUUACCAAUUUCUGGGGAGAGUGGGGAGCCCAUUGGGGCACCAUUCAUUUGUCUGCAGAAUUGAAAGUGGAAGACGAAAGAAAGUAUUGGAUAUGCAGCGUUUAAUGAGCGAUAAGUCGUCUUGCUGGAUACUGUAUUUAGUUUCCAAUCAACUCUCUUCAUUGGUAAAUCAAUGACGGCUGCACAAACCAAAGUGGAGUCAGGAUUUUAUAGGCAUCUAUGUAGACAGAAAAAUAAUGUUGCUGUGUCUCCUAGAUCUCGAGAAAUUUUAGCACUAUGAGUUUGCUAUGGAAAGAAAAUUUUAAGAAGUUGGUUAACAUUGUCUUACAUAUUUCCUUUUUGUGAGCCAUGAGGGAGGAACAUUAUAAUCGUUAUAAAGAACUGAUAAUACAUUUUUUCAAUGGAGAUAGAUUUGCUUUUUUUCAAAAGUAAAUUGGUACAAGUUGAGAAAAGGUGUUGGUAUUUUGGUGUUGGAGUUGUAGCUUUUUGAGUUUGCUGGUAUCUUUACCCCGCGUAAUUGAAUCACAAAAAUCUAAUGUCUAAAGUAGUUUUGUUGUAUUCAAUGUAUAAGCCUUCCACCGUGCUUAUUCUGUACGCAUCAAGGGCAAAUUUUAAGACUGUGUUGUGGAUAUAUCUAAUCGUUUUAAUGCUUUUUUUUUUCGCUUUUACUUAAAAGUUUCAUUUUGUGUUCCUUAACGUUUCAGUUGAAUUAAUUUUUGUUUCUUCAAUAUAGGAAGGAUUCUUUCGUUGUGCUAUAGCGUCCCAUAAUAUAAAGUCUAGUUUACAUCACUUAUCAUAUGUUUUAGCUCGCAGUCAUAACAAAAAAUAGAAAAUUCUAUACAUUGAGAAUAAAUAAUAUAAGUCCACAAAAAUGAUUGUAAUCUCCAUCUAUCGGUAAUAGAUCUGUAUACAAAAAUGCCUUCUAUGAAAGCUUUGGUUGUAUAUAGAUACAUACUACUAAAAUUAAAAUAUUUAAAACUGACAUAUUCAUUUGGAGAGGAUAUUUGUUUUUUUUUUAAUAUAGAUUUUGUUGACACAUUUUUUAAAGAGCUUUAAAAACUUUUGUCUAGUUCUUUAUAUAACCUAAAAACCCUCUUUCACUGGAUAACAAUAUUUUUCGUACAAUAAAAUCUAUACAGGGCUAUUAUAUACGAAAACAAGGAUUAUUAAAAGCCUUAGAUUGUGUAUGUACCAAUAUGUAAUUAUUGUUAUUUUUAUCAGUUGUCUAAACUGACUGGAUAAAAAUUUUAUUUGAACACAUUUUUGAAAAAGUUAAUGUAUGUGGGUAAUGGAAUACCGAUAUAAAAGAUAUUUUAUUGAAAAAUUCAGCCGACUUUUUAAAGUUGGAAGAAUGAUAGAUAAUAGACAAAAGAAACUGCAGCAAAAAAAUUACAACUGAGAAUGUUUAAAAGAUGCUACCGAAAUAAACAGAAAAUCAAAAAUAGUAUUGCUAAUAUGGCUAGUAAAGUUUGCCAGUCAAAAAAAACUUGAAUAGGUAGGAAUGAUUUAAGAAAUAUUGAGGUGCAAGAAGGGCCAGUGACGACAAAUUGAUAUAGAAAAUAUCAGAAUGAAGUUUUGUAUGUAAAAAAAUGAGACUUCAGAGGAAAAUAUUGAAUAAAGGAACAAUGAUGUUAUGUUAUACGAGAUUCUUGAUAUUAUCAAUUCCUUGCGACCAUAAAAGACUUUACCACAAACUGAAAACUACAUUUUCUUUAAUAUAAUAAUUAUAGAUAUUGCAUUAGAGUUUUUAUUUAGUUAAAACAAUUUUAGGCAACUGAUAUUCUUAAUUUCAAGCGACCAGAGAAUAAUUCAAAAGAGAAAGAAAGAAAAGAUGAAUAGAUUCAAGAGAUAUAAGCUUAUAAUAUAACAUUACAUACAGGAGAUAACGGUAAAAUCAAAAGCGCGGUUCUUCUCUCUCUCUCUCUCUCUCUCUUUCCUAUGGCGCUACAGAUCAAGUCCGACCCUGGCUUACCCCAGAAUCCUCUUUCAGGUAUCACUUUCCCUGGCUGCUCUCCUCCAGUUAUCCAUCAUCAAUAUCUCUUUAGUAUCGUUUCUCGCUUCGUCUAUCCACCUCUUCCUAGGCAACCAAAUAACGUUUACGAAACGUUGAAAACCCGUCAUAAUUAUCACCAAACCACGUCAGUUUAUCACGUGUUUUAGAUGUCGAAAGUCACGUGAAUAUGUCCCACCACAAUUGACGUCAUUUUUAUCACCUUUUAAAUACGUGAUAUCAGAAACGUAGCUUUUGUCGUUUUUUAGAUUAUGUUUCAUUUUAUGGUUUUAAAGAUACACAAUAAUUAUUCGCAUGGGCAUUGUUUUUGGUGUUCCUACUGGCCCACGUCGUACCAUAGUUCUACCAAAUACUAUGGACUGUAAUACAUACAACUCUUGACAUUUCCCAUUACAUUUGAGGAAGCAAAAAAAUCUACGGUGAUAACCAGAGCAAUCUAACCUUACAUUUAUAAAAUUGCUUUAUUAUUGUUUUUGUAUAAGUGUUUGAACUAUUUUUAUUUUAAUUUGAUUUAGCAAAAUUAGCUUGUUAUUCGAAAAUUUAUAAAAUUAAAUUUGAAUGUUUACUUCAAAUUUUACGUUAUCACAACGUAGUUUCACCGCAAGCCGGCAAGAUUUCUGUGUAAGUUGGAUGUAUUACAGUCAAUAGUAUUUGGUUCUACUAAGCGUUCUACUAGGUGUUCUUUUAGUUACAACUAAAUAAUUUUUGUUUAUAAAAAUAUCUAUCAUAGGCUUGAUUAAUUAGAGUUUUUCCAUUUCUUGUGCCAUGUUUUCCAUUUUUUGAAGUAGUUAAGACAGAUUUUGUUUUUCCAAAUGUGACAUUACUCUGCCUUUUAUUGUGUUUCAAAAUUAUGGUCGAGUGUGCAUUAUUCUCAGGAUUGCUUCAUGCGUUAUUCUACGGAUACAGCUUACGCUUAAACUUAAUCUUAAAGCAACAAUAAAAAUCAAAAGUAUUCAUACAAUAAGAAUGUCAAAAGAAGAUGAGUAUCCGGAGAUAUCCAUUCUUUAAAACCUCUAAUAUCUCUUGGGCAGGUCCAUCAGCAACCAUUUUGUUAAAACAUUGAAUAUAUUGAAACAAUUUUACAAAAAUGCGUCGCCUGAAGUUAAAAACCAACAAAUAAAUUAGUUUAAAAUGAUUUCUUCGAAAAAAAUUGUUACAAUCAAUUUUAGUACAAUCAUUUAAGUACUUAGGCCUUUUUACUAACGUAUGUUUUUGCUCAAGUAGUAAUCUACUUUGUUAUACUUUCUUAUUAAGAAGUAAGCCGAUAAGUUGUAAGAUUUUUUCGUAAAUUUUGUAUGCAAAAAUCAGAUAGGUUAUUUAUAUUUGUUGCAAAAUUAUUAUAAACAUUUAUAUUUUUAAGAUUCCUUGUAAAACUACCACUAAAUAUACAUUUCUUUGAAUAUUGAUCGAUUAUUUUAAGUCUCGAGUGGUAAAUAUAGAAAUUCCCGAGAUCUAAAAAAAUUUGCUCUCACGUGAUAGAAAUACGGCAUUGCGAUUGGUUUAAAACGUCGGAACUUCAUCAAUUUGUCCCUAAGUAUUCUAAUUUUUUAAUAAUUCCAUUUGAACAAUUACCGUUAUGUCUUAUGUGGUAUAAAUAACGGAAAAAUUGUAACGAGUGCAAAAAUAAAUGUCGUUAAAGCUGUUAAUAAGUAAUGAAUGAAAUUAGGAAUAAAAUAUUACCUUUUUUUCAUUUUCAUCGAAAGGAUUCGGUGAAAUUUUACCUAUAUUAAAUUUACAAUCAAGAUGCAGUAGAAAUAAACAAACCAGGAUACGUUAAAUGCUACUAGGAGCACGAAUCAUAAUUUACAAUGUAUAAACUUUGGAAAUCAUUAUUUGGGAUUUACAAUGUAUAUACACUGUAAAUUAUGAUUCGGGAUUGUUCCAAGUAGCAUUUAACGUGUCUUGGUUUGUCUAUUUCUACUGCAUCUUGAUUGUAAAUUUAAUAUAGAUGAAUUGACGGCUUGUGGAAUGAAAUCUAAGAUUCCCAUAGUCUGCUUUGUUCAUUGUUCGUUUGCCUUGCUAAUUUUAGAAGUUACGAAUUCAGGUUGUCACCAGAAUCUUGGUUCCAACCAUAGAUGUUUCAGAUUUUCGGAUCUAAGACCUCUCAUUGUUUUAAAUAGAUGUCGCUACAGCCUCUACAAGCAAAAUAUUUUAUUUAAUUUUGAUUAGUAAGACAGUUGGUUUUCGUUAUGAUUCAGAGCAGACCACAAGCCUCCCUGAAGAUCCCAAAAGGGUGAAACGCACCUAAGAGGAUGGUGGUUUUCAUUAUCUUUUAAUAAGUCUUGUUAACGUAAAAAGAUACAAAAGAUCUUAUAAACAAUAAAUUAAGCCUUCAUCAACACAAAGUUUUACUAGCAUCUUUAUAGUCCGAGAUUUAUAAUAAUUUUGCAACACAUCUAUGUUAAAGGUCAUGUAUAAAGUAAACGAAUAGAAGAAAAAUAUUUCGGAGCUCCGCCAUUUUGAAAAUUCAAGCUUCAUAGAUUUCAUGUUAUACAAAGUAGAAAAACCAGCUUUUAUAUGUGGUGAAUUGCAAAAAUCGUUCGGGGUUCUUGAGGUAUUCUUCUUCGUUUUUACAGUUGAUGCAAGUAGUAUUAAAGAGAUUGAAAUUUUAUUGAAAGUUAUUAUCCCUGCUGGGUCUUAAGGGUACGAUGAUAUUUUGGGCCUUAAAUUGACUAUAUUGGCUAAAAGUUUUUGUAAUAUUUAAGCUAUUUUUAUACAUUACUAAUAAUUAUUUAAACGUUGGCAUAAAAUAUAUUCAUUUAACAUGCUGCUUUACAUAGUCUGCCUACAGGGUAAUUACCCUCCUAAUAUUGGCCUAUAUCCUUUAGGAUCGACAUCAACUAUCGGGAUAUUGUGAAAGCACAUUAGGCAAGUACCGGAGUGGCUUUCGCAAAGAAAAAUCAACUAUGCAUCAAAUAUUCCUUCUAAAACAAGUUUUGGAAAAAACAUAUGAGUAUAUAAUUGAUACUUACCAUUUGUUUGUGGAUUUUAGAUGUGCCUCUAGAUGACAGUGUAGACAUAAACGCACUAUACAAAGCUAUGGUAGAAUUCAAUAUCUCAAUACAGUGAAAUUGAUGAAAUCGAACCUAUCAACAGUAGAGUGUAAGGUUAGAGUGCAUAACGGAGUAUCAAGAAUUUUCCAGAUACAAAUAUUACUUCGACAGGGGGAUAGCCUGUCGUGCCUUCUAUUCAAUAUUGCCCAGCUCUUAGAGAAUCGGGAGUAACAACAACCAUUAUUAAUAGGAUAUUCUUAGAAGACCUGGUCCAAUCGUUCACGGCAUUGGAAGCAGCAGCAAAAAGAAUGGGGCUACACUUUAUUACUAUCUAUGUAUAUAUCUAUCUAUCUAUCUAUCUAUCUAUCUAUCUAUCUAUCUAUCUAUCUAUCUAUCUAUCUAUCUAUCUAUCUUUCUAUCUUUCUAUCUAUCUAUCUAUCUAUCUAUCUAUCUAUCUAUCUAUCUAUCUAUCUAUCUCUCUAUCUAUCUAUCUAUCUAUCUAUCUAUCUAUCUAUCUAUCUAUCUAUCUAUCUAUCUAUCUAUCUAUCUAUCUAUCUAUCUAACUAAUUAGCCUUCUACGGUCCAUCUCUGGACAUAGGCCUCCCCAAUCCUUUUCCAUUCUUCUCUGUCUGUUGCUACAGUUAUCCACCUAGAGCCCACGUGCUUCUUGACAUCAUCUGCCCAUCUCAUUUGUGGCCUUCCUCUGCUUCGUUUAUAUUCCCACGGUCUCCAACUUAUGAGAAUUUUGUUUCAUCGGUCUUAUUUUUGUCUUAAAGUGUGUCCGGAAAAUCUCCAUUUCAACUAUGCAACUUCUUGUCUAACAUCUUUAACUUUGGUUUUCUCUCUUAUCCACUCGUUUCUCUUUUUACCCAUUAGUCUUAUCUGCAACAUUUGUCUUUCCAUUGCUCUUUGCGUUUUUGUGAUCUUGUCCAUGUUUGCUUUCGUAAACGUCCACGUUUGGGAACCGUAAGUGAGAACAGGGAGUACACAUUGAUUGUAUACCUUGGUCUUAAGAUGUUGUGGAUAUCUUUUGUUUUUAAGGAUGUAGCUUAGUUUUCCAAAUGCCGCCCAUGCCAGUCUAACUCGUCUUUUGAUCUCUGCUGUUUGGUUUUCCUUGUUAAGUUUUAUAAUUUUGACCCAGAUAUAUAUAAUGGUGAACUUGUUCUAUUUCAUCUUGUCCUAUCCUCAUUGUAAUGUCCUCAUCUGUAUUUGUUAUGAUUUUGGUCUUGCUGCAAUUCAUAUUAAGGCCUAUCUUUCCGGCUUCUAUGUCCAGUUCUUUCAUCAUUUCAAACAAUUCUUCUUUUUAUCGGUUUUCAAUACGAAGUCAUCGGCGUACCUUAGGUGGUUCAAGCGUUGUCCACAAAUUUUUAUACCUUUUUCUUCCCAUUCUAAUCUUUUAAAGAUAUUUUAAAGAAUAGAAAAAGCCAGAUCCAUAUUCACUAAAAUGAAGAGAGUGUUCUGUGGAAGAGGUUUGAGCCUUGAAAUGAAACUUCGCCUGAUGAGAUGUUACGUACUUUCUGUGCUGUUCUACGGAAUGGAGUCAUGGACGCUGAAAAAGAUUGAUAUCAAAAAAUUGGAGGCAUUUGAACUAUGGAUGUAUCGCAAAAUCUUGAGAAUAUCAUGGACGGAGAGAGUCACAAACGUCGAGGUCUUGAGAAGAAUGAAUAAAGAAAAGGAAGUCAUAUUUACGAUCAAAAAACGAAAACUGCAAUACUUGGGACACAUUACAAGAGGCGAAAGAUAUGAACUGCUUCGAAUAAUUAUGCAGGGGAAGAUAGCAAGAAAAAGAUCCAUAGGAAGAAGACAAAACUCCUGGCUAAAGAAUCUACGGGAAUGGUAUAGCUGUAGCAACAACGAAUUGUUUCGGUCAACAGUUUCGAAAAUACGUAUAGCCCUGAUGAUCGCCAACCUUCGGAACGAAGAUGGCACUUGAAGAAGAAAGAUAUUUUCCAGAGCCUGAUUGAACAGUUUCGGUGAUAUUGUGUCACCCUGUCUUACUCCUCUAUUUAUUUGAAUUGAUUGUGUUCCUUCGUAUACUUUAAUUGUUGUUGUGGCUUCUUUAUAUAUAUUGGCUAUUAGGUCUGUAUAUGUGUGGUCAAUUCUGCUGUUAAUCAAAGAACUUUUCACUGCCCAAUAUUCGACACUGUCAAAAGCCUUUUCGAAAUCUAUGAACGCUAUAUUUAGAGGGAUGUGGUAUCGUUAUUACUAGUAAGACUAAUUAUAUGAAAGUGACAAAUAAUAAGCAAGUAGCAACCCUCAAUGAAGAACUUUUAAGCUAUUUGGAACGUAAAAUCCUCAGAGAUAUUUAUAAAUAAACGAAUUAUGGCCUAGGAGCUGUAAUUUUGAGCUUUGCUGCCUUUAUAGUGAACAUCGUAUUGGUAGGUCCAUCAAAAUAAACCGGCUGCGGUGGCUAGGCCACUUAGAGAGAAUGGACGAGUCGGGACCAUCGAAACACAUUUAUAACCAAGGACGGAUCGAGUAAGGAGAGGAGGCAGAUCCAGAGCACGAUUUAAAGACCAGGCGAAAGACGACUUAAAUCAAGACGAAGCAUAGGAAGGAAUGAAACCUAAUUCUAGAACAGACCAAAACACACUAUGCGUUGAACCAAUGAUGAUGAUGAACAUGUUGCUUUAUUUUGUUCACAAUAUUGCUCUGCUAUUACCUUUAUUCCGAAAAUUAUUAAUCUUUUGAAAUUUAAUUCCGCAAGAAGAAAAAUAUGCAUACCUACUUUUAUAUUCUCUGAAUUUGCACUGAUAAAAAAUAAGACGACAGAGAUAUUAAUUGAUAUAUUGUAUGUAAGAAGGUUUAUGGAAUAGAUGUCAAUAAAGUGCAAACGACGAAGAAGAUCUAAGAAAACUUGGGGAGAAGGAAUAAGCAAGGUGAUGAGUGAAAGUGAGUCAAUGCAAUCUGACAGAGAUCGUAUCUAUUUGGAAAUGACAGUACUUCUGUAAUUUUUUUUUAUUUUUCUUUCUAGAUUUCCAUCUAGUUCUUUUUACUUUUCUGAAUGAUUUUAUAUUUUUCUAGGCUUUGGUCAAUGAAUUUCAAUGUCUCUUGUAUCACCCACACUUUAUUUCUGUAGUUUGGUUAGAUAUUUACUCCUAAAAAAACUGAAAAAACGUUUACUGAAAAAACGUAGAUGCAUGAAAGGCUUAAAAUAAAUGUGAACAAAAUAGAAGGAAACUGUACAGAUAAACAAGAUUAUGUAAUAUGAGGUACUGGAGAUUUAAGAAACAACUUUGAAGAAUGUUUUUUCGACGAUUUUUUUUUAUAAAAUGAUAUCUAAAAUGUACUCCCAUUAUAAAAUGUGUUUUUCAAUCAAAUUCCAUUCAAAUCAACAAAAAAUGAUAUAAUUUGGUAUUUACUUAGACAGUUUUCUAAGUGUACUACAUUUUAUAGCACUCUUCAUCGAUAAUAAUUUUUUGUUUACUGAUGUGUAGAGAUAAAUGCGAUGAAGUAGUACACGUUUUUUUUAGUGGUAAAUUUUCGAUUUCACUUAAAACGAAAUGAGAUCAUACAAGAAAAUACUUUCUAGUUUAAAAGAAUAUCUGAACAGAAAAUUAUAUUUUACGGCAGAAAUUUAUCAAAUAACACAUUUUACAAUAAAAUGUACACCCUAAGAGUUGUGACAAAAACGAACAAAAUAUUUAAUUAUUUUCAAGGCGAAAAAGGCUAAUAACAAGAAACAAAGAUAAGUAGAGUUAAUUAGUAAGAACCCAAUAUGAUUUGGAAAACUGAUAGGGGGUAUCCUCUAACUGAUUCUGCGGAAUUCUGCAGAAUUGUUUUCUUGGGAUAUUCAUCUGUAUCUUUUGUCAAUAGAGAAUUUCGGGUCUGUAUCUACUAUCUGGUAACCAUCUGCAGUGUUUAUGGUCUGGUUUCGCCUUGACGUAUAUGGAUGAUUAUAUUUUAGUCAUUUUAGACCAACAUGCUGAUACUUCAAUUAAAAAUGUAUUAGAAAACCAAUGUUUAAUACUACGUAUGCUUUUUGUUGUUAUUAAUGGUAUUAUUAAUUGCUUUUAAGACCCAGCAGGUUUCCCCAAAAAACAAGAUUUAUAUAACAAAGCCUGCAAAGCGUUAUGUAAACAUAAUUGGUACAUAUCGAAUUAAAAUAAAUAGGAUGCGAAACUA
This is a long non-coding RNA of Diabrotica virgifera virgifera (western corn rootworm), 17990 nucleotides long. RefSeq lists it as uncharacterized. The transcript has 2 exons. NCBI's taxonomy places the organism in Eukaryota, Metazoa, Arthropoda, Insecta, Coleoptera, Chrysomelidae. The record is from RefSeq and is a predicted model, not a curated record.